UCGAGCUGCGCGUACCACACACCCUGGAUCUUGACAUCCUUGGGCGCCUUGGCGCCGAGGUCGGUGUCUGACGGCUGCACGCUCUCGAAGACACCGAUCACCUCGCCGGUCUCCGGCUUGCUCUUGGUCACGCUGAGCGUGAUGUUGCCCGUGGACGAGGACGCGUUCUUCACGUUCUCCUUAGCCAACUCCUCCUCGUCUCCUCUGCCUCCGGCGGGUAGCGCCACGGCGUUGUCGUAGCCAGUAGAGCCACCACGGCCCUUUGGGUCGAGGAAAGACGAACCCCUGUAGCUGGGCACGAGGAAGGGCCCGCUGAAGCUCUCGGGCUUGCCGGUAGCGACGAGCUGCUUGACGGUGAAGAGGAAGGGCACUCGCUCGCCUCCGGGGAGCUGCACGGUGACGGCCGCGUAGUCGAUGCCGUCCUUCUCCUCGAACUUGAGGGUGCCGUCGGCGCCGACCUCGAGCGGGCCUUCCAUCUCGUCAAGGGUGUAGGUGAGACGGGUCAUGAGCUUGGUUUUCUGGAAGGCCGGCGGCUCGUUCUUCUGGAUGCCCUCGGCCUUGACGGUGAAGGAGGUGGGCUCCAGGCAGAACUUCUUCAUCUCGUACUUGCCGGCCUUGAAGGGGAAGGAGUCGACGCCGCCGUCGAUGGUCGGGCACUGGUUCGCGGUGCCGGUACCCUUCACCUCCAUGUAGGUCUUGCUCUGGAUCUCGUCGAAGGUCAGCCUCUU
RNAcentral lists this long non-coding RNA (728 nucleotides) under Triticum aestivum (bread wheat). RNAcentral's name for it is "long non-coding RNA (TAES_LNC020704)". Lineage: Eukaryota; Viridiplantae; Streptophyta; Magnoliopsida; Poales; Poaceae. The record is from RNAcentral.